UACGUAGGGGGCCAGCGUUGUCCGGAUUCAUUGGGCGUAAAGGGUGCGUAGGCGGCGCGGUAAGUCGGGUGUGAAAUCUCGGGGCUUAACUCCGAAACUGCAUUCGAUACUGCCGUGCUUGAGGACUGGAGAGGAGACUGGAGUUUACGGUGUAGCGGUGAAAUGCGUAGAUAUCGUAAGGAAGACCAGUGGCGAAGGCGGGUCUCUGGACAGUUCCUGACGCUGAGGCACGAAGGCCAGGGGAGCAAACGGG
This 253-nucleotide ribosomal RNA is filed under the name uncultured bacterium. RNAcentral describes it as "partial 16S ribosomal RNA". It matches the Rfam family "Bacterial small subunit ribosomal RNA", at positions 524 to 776 of the family's 1533-position model. The record is from RNAcentral.